This 306-nucleotide ribosomal RNA is filed under the name Mucor hiemalis. Its description in RNAcentral is "partial 28S ribosomal RNA". It matches the Rfam family "Eukaryotic large subunit ribosomal RNA", at positions 252 to 561 of the family's 3401-position model. Lineage: Eukaryota; Fungi; Mucoromycota; Mucoromycetes; Mucorales; Mucoraceae. The record is from RNAcentral.
CAUUUUCAAAGAGUCAGGUUGUUUGGGAAUGCAGCCUAAAUUGGGUGGUAAAUCUCACCUAAAGCUAAAUAUUUGCGAGAGACCGAUAGCGAACAAGUACCGUGAGGGAAAGAUGAAAAGAACUUUGAAAAGAGAGUUAAACAGUAUGUGAAAUUGUUAAAAGGGAACCGUUUGGAGCCAGACUGGCUUAACUGUAAUCAAUCUAGGCUUUGGCCUGGAUGCACUUGCGGUUUAUGCCGGCCAACGACAGUUUUGUUUGAGGGAAAAAAUUACAUUGAAUGUGGCCCUUCGGGGUGUUAUAGCUUU